UUGCUCUCUGUCGGUCCUGCCGGCCGCAUGGAGCCCGAGCUGGAGCACGCACUGCGCAGGACCCCGUCCUGGAGCAGCCUUGUGGGACCUCAGAACCGAGAGCUGAGCUUCCUAGAGCAGGGAGCUGGCACUUCAUGGCCAUCGCCAGCCACGACCAGCAGCUCAAAAAGAAGCCGCAGUAGACGGGGGGCCAAGGCCUCGAGGUGGGCAAGGCAGGAGGCUGUGGAGGAAGAGGACCUGCCAGGCCUGGGGCAAGAUCCCCAAUCCAGGCCAGCUGCUGAGUCCAUCGGGCUGGAGACCACAUUCCCUGCGGCCACGCCCUUGGCCCAGGCUGCUCCCUUGGACAUCCUCCCCUGCGAGUCCGGAGCCUCAGCCCCUGGCUCCAGCACAGACGGCCAGGAGGUGGGCACAGAGGUCCCAGCCACAGCAGCCUGCGGGUAUGAGCUUAGCCCGGUGGAAGAGAGGCCCGCCCCGUGCCCACCCCUGCAGGCCCCGUUACCCAGGCAGGGCCUGGAUGAUGAGCUGCAGAAGCCGGGGGCCCAGGUCUACAUGCACUUCAUGCAGAAGCACACCUGCUACGAUGCCAUGGCAACCAGCUCCAAGCUGGUCAUCUUCGACACCACGCUGGAGAUCAAGAAAGCCUUCUUCGCCCUGGUGGCCAACGGUGUCCGGGCGGCACCUCUGUGGGACAGCAGGAAGCAGAGCUUUGUGGGGAUGCUGACCAUCACAGACUUCAUCCUGGUGCUGCAUCGGUAUUACAGGUCCCCCCUGGUCCAGAUCUACGAGAUUGAAGAACAUAAGAUUGAGACCUGGAGGGAGAUCUACCUCCAGGGCUGUGUCAAGCCUCUGGUCUCCAUCUCUCCCAAUGACAGCCUGUUCGAAGCCGUCUACAGUCUCAUCAAGAACCGGAUCCACCGCCUGCCCGUCCUGGACCCCGUCUCAGGCGACGUGCUCCACAUCAUCACGCACAAGCGGCUGCUCAAGUUCCUGCACAUCUUCGGCUCUCUGCUGCCCCGGCCCUCCUUCCUCUCCCGGACCGUCCAAGAUCUGGGCAUCGGCACAUUCCGAGACUUGGCCAUGGUGCUUGAAACGGCCCCCGUCCUGACCGCACUGGACAUCUUCGUGGACCGGCACGUGUCCGCGCUGCCUGUGGUCAACGAAGACGGUCAGGUCGUGGGCCUGUACUCCCGCUUUGACGUGAUCCACCUGGCCGCCCAGCACACCUACAACCACCUGGACAUGAGUGUGGGAGAAGCGCUGCGGCAGAGGACGCUGUGUCUGGAGGGCGUGCUCUCCUGCCAGCCCGAGGAGGCCUUGGAGGAGGUCAUCGACCGGAUCGUGCGGGAGCAGGUCCACCGGUUGGUGCUAGUGGAUGACAGCCAGCAUCUCCUGGGCGUGGUGUCCCUCUCCGACAUCCUCCAGGCGCUGGUGCUCAGCCCUGCCGGCAUCGAGGCCCUCAGUGCCUGAGAAGAUCCGAGUCCUCCUUCCCAGGCCGCCUUCCCCACCCGGAGCCCACGAAGGGAGCUGGGGCGUCGGCCCUCAUCUUCCCCCACCCCCACUAGCUGGUUCGACUCUGGUUCAGGCUUCUCCAGCCCUCCCUAAAUGCCCCUGCCCUGCCUAUGCUCCCAGAAGCCCUCGGGAAUGCCCAGAGCACUAUGGGAUGGUGAGAUUAAGGAGAAAAGCUGAGUCAAGCCUAGAGGUCCCUGAACCAGAGGCACUGGGAUUGCCCCAGGGCCGACUGCUCCACGUCCACCCACGUCACUUUCCCCUCUGUCCCAUCGGGGCGGCGAGCCCACAGGUUUAGUCAGGGGCUCUGGAUCCUUCGGCUUCUGGACUACCUGCUGCUCUGCGUCCCAGCUCCUGGGAGUGCAGCUGUCCUUCCUGUGUGAGAACUGCCUUGGCGGUUCCCACCUUGUUGCCACUGCCCUCCUACUCUGCCUGCACUGACAUUUCGGGGCUGCUGGGGGCGCCAUGGAGCAACAGUUAUUGGUAGAGCUGCCUGUGGGAGUGGGGUCUCCCCUCCAUCUGCGUCCUCAGCUCUCGCCAGCAGUGUUCCCAGUGCCUGGCGAAGGCCCCGAGUUCAGAUCAUGAGGAGGAACGAUAGAGAAAACAAAGAGAGCAACCCGUGAACUUAGAUUUUAUGUUUCACUCAGAAAACGCUACAGUCAUUUGACGUGAGCCUGUGGCAAGAUCCCUCCUACUUUCCGAAUUGGAAGACGCGAAGGAACGUCUGUAACUGGCCAGUGCCGGAAGCGGCGCUCCUUGGGUGCACACAGUGCUACUCCACCGACAUUUCUGUUUCAUCUUUUAUUUAUAACAAAGCCACAGAGAAAAUAUUAGUUCCUUGCACAGUAGCUACAACUCACUCCAUAAAUUCCGGUCUGCGAGAAGCUUAACUUUGUUUUUCUAACACUGAAUGUUGUUUCUGUUAUGAAGCCCCUUUCUCCAGGUGGUAGCAAUUAAUCUCAGUCAGUUUGAGGUUCCCCUCCCAUCUUCUCCUGGGGUUCAGUGAGGAGGAGGAGGCUUUCAAUGGUGUAAGAAUUUGUUCCUCAGCCAUCAUCAUCAUCCACCCGGGUCACCUCCUGUUGCACACCCCCAUUCCACCUGGUUGUCACAUGGUGGGUCAUCGGUGGGCAUGACCCCUGCUCAGUGACCCCUCACUCACUGCCAUGAAGCCUCAUUGGGCCUGCCUGCCCUUGGGCCAUGAGGACAUUCCAGCUCCUGGCCCUGCACCCCUUGGGCUUCAGGAAGCUCUGUGGGGCUGUCCCAAGCCCACCUGCUGAGAUGGACAGCCACUGGCCUGUUCUAUUGUGAGCCUUUCGGAUUUUCCUGGGAAACAUGGGUCCCCAGGGGGCUUCUAGCCUGUGCCCUCCAAACCUCUCUGGGGUAUUUGUUGUUCUUCCCACCGCCCCAGACACAGCUCCUUCUCGCAGGGACCCCAGAAUUGUCUAUAUGCUGCUUCUCCAAGCCCCACCGGCCUGUAAAUCUCUACCCAGUGGGAAGAAGGGGCAUUUUUCUCUGACCCAUCAUAUGCUCUUCCAAAUCCGCUGUGUGUGUCUUGAGUUUCUGACACCCAUCUUGAGAGUUGGGGUUUUGAAAUUCCAAAGUCAAGUCCGAGCUUCUGCUGUGUGGCCCUCACUGUGACCAGGGACACUGCAGGUAGAGCUGGUCAGUGGGGAGGGAGAGGCUAACAUAUCGGAAGCAUGCUCCCUCCCUCCCCGUUCACCUCACAGAGCAGCAGAGUGCAGGCAGGGAGGAGCCUGAUGGGCCAGGCAGCAAAUGCAGGUGUUUUCCCAGACCCCCACCUUAUGUUUCCAGUUGGCUCUAGCCCACAGGUCAGGGGCUGGCUCUGCUCUGGCCCUACCUAGGGAGGUACUGGGUCUUGGGCUCAACUGGGAGGAUGGGAUGCAGGCGUAUGCCCACUCAAGUGACAACAUCCUUGGGUGGGGGUGGGCAGGGCAGGCUGCCCCUGACCGAGCUGGCUCUAGGGAAAGUGCGGGAGGCUCAGGCUUUGGGGGGGGUGGUGCCCUGGGGUGCCCAGGCCUUCAGAGGUCCCAGCACAGGCCUUAGGUGGAACAGGCAGCCUGGGGAAGGCAGUCUUUACCCGUUCUGCUGCCCUCCAGAGCCGACGGGUCUCCACCCCGCUGAGGUCCCAGCAGUUCACCGCCCUGGGGAGAACUUUCUUUCAGUUGAAGGCACAUGUGCUGUGCUGAGUUAAUGUGCACCCUUCUGCAAAUCCUACUGUUGUUCUUUCCUUACAGAGUCGGGUCAGGGUGGGUUAUCAGGGAGCCUCCCGGGACCCCCCCUCCCCAUGCCGUCUGGGGCAGCACACCGUCCUGAGACCCCAGACCCUGGAAGUGUGCCUCAUCACCCUCCGGCCUCUGAUGGGCUUUGUGCCACACCUCAAACCACAGCUGUUUUUCACCCUCCAGAGAGAAAUGUGCAAAGGAAAGAGCCCACACUAUUGCAUCACCAAAGAAAGUACUUUUUUCAUUUACAUGAAGUGUCUCGUGCAGGUAUUAUGCCGGAAUGUAAACUGACAGAGGCCAUUUUCACACACCCCCCUGCCCCAGAAUAGGAGAAAGAACUUCAUGUGCACGUAUGGUGUACACGUGCUGUUCCCCAGGUACAUUUCAUCAGUCUUUUUAAAAAUAAAAAAAAAAAAGAAUAUCUAGUAUAACAAAACCUCUUUGGCCAUGCUGUAUUUCAUUUUUCUCUGUUCGGGGAAGAAGUCUUUGAUUCUUCUUCCCAGAGCUCUGUCUGUGGGCCAGGUUCCCCAGUCGUGUUAAUAGCUCUCCGGCCCUUUCCUCCUGGGGGACCCAGCGUUCCCUCGUCAGUGGUGGCCAGAGCUGUUGGGGGAGCCUUGGAGGCUGUACCUACAUACACCUCACCUGCUCUUUAAUUGAUCCUCACACGUACAUCACCGUUUCACCAACUGCCCAGCUCUUGUUUCGGCUCUGCGUUUCCGGUUCCCGACUGGCGGCUGCACUUUAGGACGCAGAGACGCACAGCAGCGGGACAGCCCCGGCCCAGGACGCCCCGCGGUGCCGCUGGAGGUACUGUUACCGUCGGCAGCUAUUUCUAGCCACUCAGCUCCGCAGAUGUUUUUCAACUGAGAAAUAAUUCACAUGCCAUUGACAUUCAUUCUUUCAAAGCGUACAAUUCAGUGGUAUUUAGUACCUUCACACAGUUCUGCAGCCAUC
This is an RNA transcript of Phyllostomus hastatus (greater spear-nosed bat), 4703 nucleotides long. It is a transcript of the gene named protein kinase AMP-activated non-catalytic subunit gamma 3, with no coding region annotated. NCBI's taxonomy places the organism in Eukaryota, Metazoa, Chordata, Mammalia, Chiroptera, Phyllostomidae. The record is from RefSeq and is a predicted model, not a curated record. The transcript has 14 exons.